This 170-nucleotide non-coding RNA is filed under the name Desulfosporosinus youngiae. The record is from RNAcentral. RNAcentral also lists the same sequence under 1 other name. Lineage: Bacteria; Bacillati; Bacillota; Clostridia; Eubacteriales; Desulfitobacteriaceae.
AAUAUAAUAACAUGUAUAAGUUUCGCAUGAAUUAAAAGGGAAUCCGGUGUAAUUCCGGAGCGAGGCCGUCACUGUGAAGGGGAGUUUUGCAGCAAUCCACUGGAGUAUUCCGGGAAGGGCUGUAAGGCGAUGAACCAAGUCAGGAGACCUGCUUAUACACAUAUUAAUGA